RNAcentral lists this ribosomal RNA (866 nucleotides) under gamma proteobacterium SCGC AAA008-I23. RNAcentral's name for it is "SSU rRNA". It matches the Rfam family "Bacterial small subunit ribosomal RNA", at positions 35 to 892 of the family's 1533-position model. The record is from RNAcentral. Lineage: Bacteria; Pseudomonadati; Pseudomonadota; Gammaproteobacteria.
GCUGGCGGUAUGCUUAACACAUGCAAGUCGAACGGAAACGAAACUAGCUUGCUAGUAGGCGUCGAGUGGCGGACGGGUGAGUAACGCGUAGGAAUCUGCCUGAUAGUGGGGGAUAGCCCGAAGAAAUUCGGAUUAAUACCGCAUAAUCUAUUCGUAGUAAAGUGGGGGACUUUCGAGCCUCACGCUAUCAGAUGAGCCUGCGUAAGAUUAGCUUGUUGGUAGGGUAAAAGCCUACCAAGGCAACGAUCUUUAGCUGGUCUGAGAGGAUGAUCAGCCACAUCGGGACUGAGACACGGCCCGAACUCCUACGGGAGGCAGCAGUGGGGAAUAUUGGACAAUGGGGGCAACCCUGAUCCAGCAAUACCGCGUGUGUGAAGAAGGCCUGAGGGUUGUAAAGCACUUUCAAUUGUGAAGAAAAGUCAACGGUUAAUAACCGUUGACCUUGACGUUAACUUUAGAAGAAGCACCGGCUAACUCCGUGCCAGCAGCCGCGGUAAUACGGAGGGUGCAAGCGUUAAUCGGAAUUACUGGGCGUAAAGCGUGCGUAGGCGGUUUAUUAAGUCAGAUGUGAAAGCCCCGGGCUUAACCUGGGAACUGCAUUUGAAACUGGUGAACUAGAGUAUGGUAGAGGAAAGUGGAAUUUCUGGUGUAGCGGUGAAAUGCGUAGAUAUCAGAAGGAACAUCAAUGGCGAAGGCAGCUUUCUGGACCAAUACUGACGCUGAGGUACGAAAGCGUGGGUAGCAAACAGGAUUAGAUACCCUGGUAGUCCACGCCGUAAACGAUGAUAACUAGCCGUUGGGGGGAUUUACCCCUUAGUGGCGAAGCUAACGCGUUAAGUUAUCCGCCUGGGGAGUACGGCCGCAAG